RNAcentral lists this ribosomal RNA (876 nucleotides) under uncultured bacterium. Its description in RNAcentral is "bacterial SSU rRNA". It matches the Rfam family "Bacterial small subunit ribosomal RNA", at positions 8 to 915 of the family's 1533-position model. The record is from RNAcentral.
AGAGUUGAUCAUGGCUCAGGAUGAACGCUGGCGGCGUGCCUAACACAUGCAAGUCGAGCGAUUCUUUUCGAGAAGAGCGGCGGACGGGUGAGUAACGCGUGGGUAACCUGCCCUGUACACACGGAUAACAUACCGAAAGGUAUGCUAAUACGGGAUAACAUAUUUUGAUGGCAUCAUCGAGAUAUCAAAGCUCCGGCGGUACAGGAUGGACCCGCGUCUGAUUAGCUGGUUGGUGAGGUAAUGGCUCACCAAGGCGACGAUCAGUAGCCGACCUGAGAGGGUGAUCGGCCACAUUGGAACUGAGACACGGUCCAAACUCCUACGGGAGGCAGCAGUGGGGAAUAUUGCACAAUGGGCGAAAGCCUGAUGCAGCAACGCCGCGUGAGCGAUGAAGGCCUUCGGGUCGUAAAGCUCUGUCCUCAAGGAAGAUAAUGACGGUACUUGAGGAGGAAGCCCCGGCUAACUACGUGCCAGCAGCCGCGGUAAUACGUAGGGGGCUAGCGUUAUCCGGAAUUACUGGGCGUAAAGGGUGCGUAGGUGGUUUUUUAAGUCAGAAGUGAAAGGCUACGGCUCAACCGUAGUAAGCUUUUGAAACUGAGAAACUUGAGUGCAGGAGAGGAGAGUAGAAUUCCUAGUGUAGCGGUGAAAUGCGUAGAUAUUAGGAGGAAUACCAGUUGCGAAGGCGGCUCUCUGGACUGUAACUGACACUGAGGCACGAAAGCGUGGGGAGCAAACAGGAUUAGAUACCCUGGUAGUCCACGCCGUAAACGAUGAGUACUAGGUGUCGGGGGUUACCCCCCUCGGUGCCGCAGCUAACGCAUUAAGUACUCCGCCUGGGAAGUACGCUCGCAAGAGUGAAACUCAAAGGAAUUGACG